Molecule: ribosomal RNA, 406 nt
Filed under: uncultured bacterium
Lineage: Bacteria
Description: partial 16S ribosomal RNA
Rfam family: Bacterial small subunit ribosomal RNA
Source: RNAcentral
AUUGAACGCUGGCGGCAGGCCUAACACAUGCAAGUCGAACGAGUGGCGGACGGGUGAGUAAUGUCUGGGAAACUGCCUGAUGGAGGGGGAUAACUCCUGGAAACGGUAGCUAAUACCGCAUACCAUCGGAUGUUCCCAUAUGGGAUUAGCUAGUUGGUGGGGUAAAGGCUCACCAAGGCGACGAUCCCUAGCUGGUCUGAGAGGAUGACCAGCCACACUGGAACUGAGACACGGUCCAGACUCCUACGGGAGGAAGCAGUGGGGAAUAUUGCACAAUGGGCGCAAGCCUGAUGCAGCCAUGCCGCGUGUAUGAAGAAGGCCUUAGGGUUGUAAAGUACUUUCAGCGGGGAGGCGUUACCCGCAGAAGAAGCACCGGCUAACUCCGUGCCAGCAGCCGCGGUAAUAC